GCAGGACUCGUGGUGGCCAAUGGACUUGCAAAUUUCCUCAACCUCUAUAAUACUGUGUUGAUUGUUCGGCUUGUUCUUACAUGGUUCCCCGGUGCUCCUGCGGCAAUUGUUAACCCUCUCAGGUGCGUUGAUCUAAAGAGUUAUUUCUUUAUGUGUAUGUAUUUAUGUUUCAUGGUUUCACAGCACAAUAUGCGAUCCAUACCUGAAUAUUUUCCGGGGAGUAAUCCCACCUCUUGGAGGAACCUUGGAUCUCUCCCCGAUUCUGGCAUUUUUGGUUUUAAACGCCUUCACAAGUACUGCCGCCGCACUUCCAGCAGAACUACCAGCUGCUUCGGGAACAUCUCGACAUCAAGAGUUUCCUUUUAAUCUUACUAGCUUUCAACAGAAAUGGAUGCGAAGGGUAUCCGGCCGGCAACAACAAGUGUUGAAAUAAAAUUGGUUUUUUUAUAAUUUUUUUUUGAAUCGGAGAGUAAAUUCAGAAACAAAGAAAGAGAUGCAAUUAUGCAAUUAUCAAAUUCAAAAGCUAAUAAAAAUUCUGAUACCAUUUGUUCACCUCUCCAGUCUGGAUACCAUCUUUUUAUUCCACCGCGUCUGAUUUUUUUUAAAU
Molecule: long non-coding RNA, 607 nt
Filed under: Zostera marina
Lineage: Eukaryota; Viridiplantae; Streptophyta; Magnoliopsida; Alismatales; Zosteraceae
Description: long non-coding RNA (ZMAR_LNC004975)
Source: RNAcentral